This 478-nucleotide ribosomal RNA is filed under the name uncultured bacterium. Its description in RNAcentral is "bacterial SSU rRNA". It matches the Rfam family "Bacterial small subunit ribosomal RNA", at positions 365 to 833 of the family's 1533-position model. The record is from RNAcentral.
UUCGCAAUGCCCGAAAGGGUGACGAAGCGACGCCGCGUGGGUGAGGAAGGCCCUCGGGUUGUAAAACCCUGUCAGGAGUUAAGAAAUGUAAGUGCGCUAAUAUCGCAUUUAUUUGACGAAGGCUCCAAAGGAAGCCACGGCUAACUCUGUGCCAGCAGCCGCGGUAAUACAGAGGUGGCAAGCGUUGUUCGGAAUUAUUGGGCGUAAAGAGCACGUAGGUGGGUUUGCAAGUCAGAUGUGAAAGCCUUCUGUUCAACGGAAGAAUUGCAUCUGAAACUGCAAGUCUUGAGUGUAGGAGGGGAGAAUGGAACUUCUGGUGGAGCGGUGAAAUGCGUAGAUAUCAGAAGGAACGCCGGCGGCGAAAGCGAUUCUCUGGCCUAUUACUGACACUCAGUGUGCGAAAGCUAGGGGAGCAAACGGGAUUAGAUACCCCGGUAGUCCUAGCCGUAAACGAUGGGCACUAAGUAGAGGGGUUUUA